UGGGGAAUAUUGCACAAUGGGCGCAAGCCUGAUGCAGCAACGCCGCGUGAACGAUGAAGGUCUUCGGAUCGUAAAGUUCUGUUGCAGGGGAAGAUAAUGACGGUACCCUGUGAGGAAGCCCCGGCUAACUACGUGCCAGCAGCCGCGGUAAUACGUAGGGGGCUAGCGUUAUCCGGAUUUACUGGGCGUAAAGGGUGCGUAGGUGGUCUUUCAAGUCGGUGGUUAAAGGCUACGGCUCAACCGUAGUUAGCCUCCGAAACUGGAAGACUUGAGUGCAGGAGAGGAAAGUGGAAUUCCCAGUGUAGCGGUGAAAUGCGUAGAUAUUGGGAGGAACACCAGUAGCGAAGGCGGAUUGCUGGACUGCAACUGACACUGAGGAACGAAAGCGUGGGUAGCAAACAGG
This 403-nucleotide ribosomal RNA is filed under the name Verrucomicrobiota bacterium. Its description in RNAcentral is "Verrucomicrobia bacterium partial 16S ribosomal RNA". It matches the Rfam family "Bacterial small subunit ribosomal RNA", at positions 355 to 776 of the family's 1533-position model. The record is from RNAcentral. Lineage: Bacteria; Pseudomonadati; Verrucomicrobiota.